CACGUAGGGGGCGAGCGUUGUCCGGAUUUAUUGGGCGUAAAGAGCUCGUAGGCGGCUCGGUAAGUCAGGUGUGAAAACUCUAGGCUCAACCUAGAGACGCCACCUGAUACUGCUGUGGCUAGAGUCCGGUAGGGGAGCAUGGAAUUCCUGGUGUAGCGGUGAAAUGCGCAGAUAUCAGGGGGAACACCGGGGGCGAAGGCGGGUCUCUGGGCCGAUACUGACGCUGAGGAGCGAAAGCGUGGGGAGCGAGCAGG
RNAcentral lists this ribosomal RNA (254 nucleotides) under uncultured bacterium. RNAcentral's name for it is "partial 16S ribosomal RNA". It matches the Rfam family "Bacterial small subunit ribosomal RNA", at positions 524 to 776 of the family's 1533-position model. The record is from RNAcentral.